GGGCGCUUGGCACAGGGGUAGCGCGCACGCUUCGCACAUCCGACUGCGUGAGGUCGUGGGUUCAAAUCCCACAGUGUCCA
This 80-nucleotide transfer RNA is filed under the name Schizophyllum commune. RNAcentral describes it as "tRNA-Ala". It matches the Rfam family "tRNA". Rfam says of the family: Transfer RNA (tRNA) molecules are approximately 80 nucleotides in length. Their secondary structure includes four short double-helical elements and three loops (D, anti-codon, and T loops). Further hydrogen bonds mediate the characteristic L-shaped molecular structure. tRNAs have two regions of fundamental functional importance: the anti-codon, which is responsible for specific mRNA codon recognition, and the 3' end, to which the tRNAs corresponding amino acid is attached (by aminoacyl-tRNA synthetases). tRNAs cope with the degeneracy of the genetic code in two manners: having more than one tRNA (with a specific anti-codon) for a particular amino acid; and 'wobble' base-pairing, i.e. permitting non-standard base-pairing at the 3rd anti-codon position. The record is from RNAcentral. RNAcentral also lists the same sequence under 2 other names. Lineage: Eukaryota; Fungi; Basidiomycota; Agaricomycetes; Agaricales; Schizophyllaceae.